This 2376-nucleotide unclassified non-coding RNA is filed under the name Hevea brasiliensis (rubber tree). Lineage: Eukaryota; Viridiplantae; Streptophyta; Magnoliopsida; Malpighiales; Euphorbiaceae. The record is from RNAcentral.
GGCAAACCUCGCUGCAAUUGGAGAAGAAAACGAUUCGUUCCACAUCGUCUUCCAUCUUGCUCCAUCCAAUCUCACGGUCAAAUUCUCUUUCUGCUCUCUCUUGGUAGAAACUGCAGAUACCAGAAGCUUAAAUUCAUUUUAAGGCUUUUUUUCUUUAAACCAUUUGUUACUUUUCUCAGUAAAAACUCGGUGGAUUUCAAAAUUCUAAGAAUAUAAUUUGAAUUGGUGUAGCGAUUCAAGUGUGUGUGCGGAAACUGGGAUCUUUCUACUGGUUAGGGUUUGACUCUGAGCUUCCACGAUUGAUUUUAUAUAUGGAUUGUCCCAUUAGAGGUAUGGAAACUGUGGUAGCAACUGUUAGUGGCUACCAUGGGUUGGAGCGGUUCAACCUCAUCAAGCUGAUAUCUCAGGCUGGUGCCAGUUAUGUGGGUGCGAUGUCAAGAUCUAAUACACAUUUGGUGUGUUGGAAAUUUGAGGGAAGGAAAUAUGAUCUUGCCAAGAAGUUUAAAACAAUUAUAGUUAACCAUCAGUGGGUGGAAGAUUGCAUAAAGCAAGGGAAGCGUGUUCCAGAGCAACCCUACAUGCUGCAAAGUGGAAAAGAAGUGGGGCCUUUAUUGCUGGAGGUCCCAAUUCCUGACAAGGUUGGAUUCUUGAACGAAAACCCUAAAGCACUGGCUGACAAAUCCAAUAAUUCUGAAGGCUAUGAAAGACUACUAAAUGGUAUGGUCUGUGGAAAUUCUGGCCUUGCGACUUGGACCAGUUCUUUUUUGUUGGAUGAGAAUUUUUUUCCCGAGGUCAAUAAAAAGAACAUUAGUGCAUCUAAAUCAAAGCCAAAUCAGGUAAACAAAUCUUCAAAGCAGGAACGCAGGUCAAGUGGUAGAUACUGUUUUCAGGACCCUCCUUUAUCUGGUUUAGUUACAUUGGAGCAUGAAGGGCCUGUGAGAGAGAAAGGGAGGAUUUCGGGGCAUGAGAGGCCAAAUACUUGUUCUGGCAAGCAACUAAUGAGGGGAAAAAGGAAGAUUUCUGAUAAUAUUGGAAGCACUUCUUUGGCUGAACCUUCUCGAAUUGGACGGAGGCUUGUGAAGAAAAAUGUUAGCAGAUACAACAUGGAGAUUGUGUCUUUGGAUUCUGAUCAAGAGCUCUCUCCAGUGGGACUUCAAAACAAGAACAGUAAAACUGCAGCUCCAUCUGAAAAUGAAUAUUGUGAAAGGAAUGUUAAUACAUUUGAAACUGGAAGAACAUCUGAUGCUGCCUUGAAUAACAGCAGGGCUUCUGCAUUUGAAUUUUCUAAUGAUAUUGCAGUGAUAAGAGAUUGGAAUCAUCUACCUUCCAAGGAUUCACAUUCACAUACUGAGGAGGCACAGACUGCAGUAGAAAGAUCAGAUGAUUUUCCUGCCAUGGAGAACUUUGAUGGAAAGAACAAGGAUGUGAGUCACUCUGAAUCCAUUACCAGAUUACCUACUUCAAUGGAAUUAUCAUGUGUUAUCUGUUGGACAGAAUUUAGCUCAACGAGGGGUGUUUUGCCAUGUGGACAUCGAUUUUGUUAUUCAUGUAUCCAAAACUGGGCUGAUCAUUUGGUUUGCUCAUUUUAUUAAUCCACACUGUAUGAUCUCCAACAAUUCAGUGUCUCAAUAGACUUCUCAAUGCGUCUUCUUUGAUAUGUUGUUCUGUGUCAUUUAGUCAAUCACUGUUUUAAAGCUUUUCCUUCUGAUGCUGGUGAUAUAUGUAGAUUUCAAGUGGAAAAAUUUCAAGAUGUCCUUUGUGCAAGGGUAGUUUUGUAAGCAUAACUAAAUUUGAGGAUGUGGCCACUUCUGAUCAGAAAAUUUACUCUCAAACUAUUCCUUGUGCCUCCUCAACAACAGAUAUUUUCUUAUUAAAUGAUCAAGAAGGAGGCAGAUUUGGUGCUGAGUCUUCAUUAGCAUCAGUUUGUGGUGAAUGCUGUUGCCGGGAGCCUGAGGAUCUUCUAAUUACUUGUCAUUGCUGCCAGAUUCGAUGUAUUCAUAUAUACUGCCUGGACCCUCCUCUGUUACCUUGGACCUGCAUUCACUGUAAGGAUCUCCAAAGGCUCUAUUAUCAAGCCAGAUAAUAUGUUUCUCAGGAGUACAUUGCUUACACAGCAAGGAUCUUCAUAUUUUAUACUCGUAGCAUUUUAGCAUCAGUGCUGCUCAUGCAGUUUUGAUCCGUGUAAAUCACUGAAUAAAUGGUUAUGCUUUUCCUUCUUUCAACAGUCAUUGCUAGUACCAGCAGUUGAAACUGCUCAUAGUCAUUAACCGAACAACAUUUGGCACAUCAACUAAUAGUGCCUCUUAUCAUUACACCCAUUAUUGUCUUCAAAAUCUCAGUUAUUACUUGAUUAUGACAAUAUUCUCUUACUCUAUG